Molecule: non-coding RNA, 3496 nt
Organism: Lolium perenne
Lineage: Eukaryota; Viridiplantae; Streptophyta; Magnoliopsida; Poales; Poaceae
Source: RefSeq, a predicted model, not a curated record
ACCUAAUCACUGUCGGUAUCCAAAACCCGACCUGAUCUCUGUCGUUAAAGCCAGCAACGCACCCAUCUUGCCGCUCUUUCCGAUCUCGCGAGCAAUCCCGAAUUCUCGAUUCCGCGAUCUCGACCCUGCAACCCUAGAUUCCCCGAUCUCGCGCGCACCCCUAGUUUCCGCGAUCUCGCGCGCAACCCUAGCUUUCCAUCCGCUGCCAUGGCCUCAAUCGAGCCCAUGGCCCCGCGCGCUAACACCACCUGGUAUCUCGUCGACGACGACGACCUUGUCGAGGUCGCGAGGCGGCGGGACGCCGUCGCCAAGAGGGCCCGGGACGAGGACCUUCGCGAGGAGGCUGACGCCCGUGGAUGGUCUUCCGCGAUCCCGGACCGCAGCCUCCCCCUGCGCCGCCGCCGCGGUUCGGUUUCGCCCUCUUUCGCUCGCGCCACCACCUCCGUGGCUGUCGCCGAGGAGCAGAUCUGCUCCCGUGAAGUGGCGUCCUCGACCAUGAUCCACAGCAAAAGCGAAGCCCAGGGUAUCGCCACGGUUUGUGCCGAAACCUAUUUCUUGACCGUCCUGUAAUGGAUGGUCGACUGCAAUUGUGUCUUUGACCGUAGUAUCUGUGGACGAUUAGGCUCCCAAUUUAGUACAUGUUCUGGAUGAUUAGACUCCCUACCUGUGCACGAUUUGGUUCUCUGCUUAGUAGUACAUGUCGACGAGUAGUUUCUCUACUUAGUACCUGUGGACGAUUAGGGUUGCUGGUUAGUCCUAUAUCUGCCACAUAGGAAUUGGGAUUUGAAAGGGAGUUUUUUUAGAGCCUUAAUUGUUUAAAAUUUGGAUAUUGAUAAAAAAAUUGGACCAAAAACUCAAAAAAAAUGAUAAAAAGUUGGACAUUAACAAAAAAAAGGACAAAAAACUCAAUUUUUUUUUUGAUAAAAACUUGGACAUUGCAUUUUCCAUAUAUCUUGAAAGUACUUUGCUAACUUGAACUAUAGCCACACAAGCUAGAAGGAUUGUUGGAUUGAACCUUGUCAAAAGUUAUGUUCUUGCCAAACUGGUGGUCUAUUUUCAACGUAUGCUUUUAGCUGAAGUUUAGUUCCUAUAGAGCAUCUAGUAACAUGAAUAUGAAAUCAUUAACUAAUUAAUAAACAGAUAUGAGUUUUCUUCACUUCUCAGCAGCUUUUAUGGGCUUAAAUUCAGGCUUUGAUCAUGUCUCCUGAACAAUUUAAUUACAUUGUAGCAGUUAUCCAUUAGUCAAUUGUUUGAAUGCUGAAAAUACACGGUUUGUGCCGAAACCUAUUUCUUGACCGUCCUGUAAUCGCCGGUCGACUGCAAUUGUGUGUUUGACCGUAGUAUCUGUGCACGAUUAGGCUCCCAAUUUAGUACAUGUUCUGGAUGAUUAGACUCCCUACCUGUGCACGAUUUGGUUCUCUCCUUAGUACAUGUCAACGAGUAGUCUCUAUACUUAGUACCUGUGGACGAUUAAUUUGGCUCUCUACUUAGUACCUCUGGACGUUUAGGGUUGUUGGUUAGUAGUAUAUCUGCCUCAUAGGAAUUGGGAUUUGAAAGGGAGUUUUUUUUAGAGCCUUAAUUGAUUAAAAAAUGGAUAUUGAUAGAAAAAAUUGGACAAAAGACUCAAAAACAAGUUGAUAAAAAAUUGGACAUUGCACUUUCCAUAUAUCUUGAAAGGACUUUGCUAACUUGAACUAUAGCCAAGCUAGAAGGAUUGUUGGAUUGAACUUCACUUGUCAAAAGUUAUGUUCUUGCCAACUGCUGGUCUAUUUUCAACGUAUGCUUUUAGCUGAAGUUUAAUUCCUAUAGAGCAUCUAGUAACACGAAUAUGAAAUCGUUAACUAACUAAUAAACGGAUAUGAGUUUUCUUCACGUCUCAGCAGAUUUUAUAGAGCAUCUACUUAGUACCUCUGCACGAUUAGGGUUGUUGGUUAGUAGUAUAUCUGCCACAUAGGAACUGGGAUUUGAAAGGGAGUUUCUUUAGAGCCUUAAUUGCUAAAAAAUUGGACAAAAAUCUAAUUUUUUUUGAUAAAAUAUUGGACAUUGCAUUUUACAUAUAUAUUAUAUAUAUCUUGAAGGGACUUUGCUUACUUGAACUAUAGCCAAGCUAGAAGGAUAGUUGUAUUGAACUUCAUUUGUCAAAAGUUAUGUUCUUGCCAAACUUGCCGGUCUAUUUUCAAUGUAUGCUUUUAGCUGAAGUUUAGUUCCUAUAGAGCAUCUGGUAACAUGAAUAUGAAAUCGUUAAUUAAUUAAUAAAUGGAUAUGUGUUUUGUUCACUUCUUGGCAGCUUUUAUGGGGUGAAAUUCAGGCUUUGACCAUGCCUCCCGAACAUUUGAAGUACACUGUAGCAAGUUCUCCAUUAGGCAAUUAUUUGAAUGCUGAAAUUACAUGGUUACUAUUUACUGCCAGCCUGCCACUUAUGUUCACCUGCAAAUAAGAAGUUUGGUCUUUUUUUGCUGAAGCCAGGUGCGCACCAGUUAAUAGUUGAACAAAAUAUACCUGAAUAACUGCUUUUGUUGCUUUGUGGCAGUCUUUCCGCUGAAAAUGAUACUUUGUGUGCGUGCUUAAUCACUAUUUAUCUUUACAUUUGGCACUCAUUAUACAAUUUUAGAUUAUGUAAAUUUUGCUGUUCUUCCAAGUUCAUGUGUCCUGUCUGGAUUUUGUGAAUGAUUCUCAUUUCUUGGGAUCAAAGUUACAUUGCUCUGCUCCAAAUCUUUAAGUCGUUUAUCUUAAUUGAUUAUUCUGAUUGUCUUCUUUGCAGGAUCAUGUGCUGUAUGCAUUCUUUAAGACACUCUGUCUACUCCAUCCUGUCUCGCAGCUUCUUUUGUUACUUUGUAGCAGUCAUUUUGUGGAAAUGCAUAUUUGAUGCUUCUGCUAAUCACCGUUUAUCUUCAUGUUUGGCUCUCAUUUAUGGUGUUCUCUUUAAUUACUCAAUUAUAUCUGUUAUGGCAAGUUUGUGCGUUAUGGUUGGGUGAUGUGUAUGAUUCUCAGUUUUUACUAUUAAAAAGGGAGAAGCUGAGACCCCAAGAAGGAUCACGCGGUGCUCUUCUGUGUGCUAAUGCUUUGAGACACCCUGUUUACUCCAACCCUGUCGUAGUACCAUUUGUUUGAAGAUGCGGUAUAUUGAUUAUAUUCUGUCUUUUUCGUAGUUAGUUACCAAACAUGGUGAUCGGCUUUUGGUACAGAAGCCAUUGAAGAUUGAUCGUGGCUUCAGAGGAAUUCUCCAAGUUGCAAGAGAUUGGACACAAAGGAGGAGCCAGUUCAAGAGUUGCGGCUGCACCUCCAUGAUAAGACCAUAGGAGGCCAAUCUGGCCUGUGCCGAGGCAAGACAGUGGGCGGAUGCGGGGGCCUGUGGCCUUCGCCAACUACUCCCCUAGAUUAGGUCUUUUUGGGUCGAGUUGUAUGGCGUGGUGUUUGUCCUUCUAUGAACUUGUACAUAUAACCUUCCUUUUCUAUCAAUGCAUCGAAACGCAAGGCUUUUGCGUUUUUGCGAAAA